UGAUGAUUAAUCAUCAAAGGUUAUACGCGUGUUUCGUCCCAAGCACAAGUCCUUCUUUCACAUAUCCCUUUUGUCAUAUGUCUUCUUGAUGCAAAGAGGCUCAGCUUGCUACUGAUGGAUUGCAGCUUACCAAAUUUGAUUUGGUUUGGUACAAUGGAUGUUUGGUAUUGAUGUUGAAAGAAUACUUCACUUUCUGUAAUUUCUGAUGUUCAGAUUAUACCGAAUGAAUGCUACCAGAUUCCAUAUUUGUUCUAGAGAUAUUAUUGAUCUUUUCAUGCACCAAUUGUUCAAGUAGUGUCUUUCUGCUAAAAGCUUUAUAUUGCCCUGUGUGUCCUUUUGUCCGUACCUUUUUCCAGUAAUUUUCUCUGUUAACCUUGGGCCAGCUCAUUUGUGUGUGCUUCAUGUAUAUGCUCAUGCUUUUGAUGCUGCUGGACUUUGGAAUGCAUCCGCACAGUAACUUUCUGGGUAUGCUUGCAUUCAGGUUGUCAUUAGUUACCAGAUGGUACAUCAGUGUCUCCACUCUAGAGAUGAAUAUAAUACGCCAAAACACAGAAAUUAUUCCGUUCAAAGUGAAUGACACGGCGUAAAUCAAACAUGCGCUGAGCCUACUAAUGCGACUACCAGUACUGUUGCACUACUAGAACCCAAUGGCAUGAUGGUGCAGCAAAUAUGGUUUUUUAUUAGAUAGUUUUCUGCACUGUAUAUGUGAUGAAUUCACAAAUUUAUGAUUUUGAGGUACUGGUGAAGGUAGAUUCAAAUGAGUGAUGCAAAUUCAGAAUUGCAUAGGUAGUGCCUACGACUGACUAAGGGUACAUGAGUUGGAAGAAAGUCCAAGCAGAAGGAACUCCUGCAGAUGCCCAGGCUGCUACUGUGCCUAUCUUAAGGGUGAUCUUGACCUGAUUUUGCUUUCGAACUGAAUUGUGGUAAUCAAGCAGGGAGACGAGACGCUGUUGAGCUGUUUUUCGGUAGAUUUGAGCUACCUAGAGUUGAGCUAGGCACCAGACGAGCAGAAGCACAAACGUAGGAGGUAUCCAACAAUGGCAACCGCAACGCCAUUCCACUUAAACCUGGAGACCAG
Triticum aestivum (bread wheat) is the source of this 1078-nucleotide long non-coding RNA. RefSeq lists it as uncharacterized. NCBI's taxonomy places the organism in Eukaryota, Viridiplantae, Streptophyta, Magnoliopsida, Poales, Poaceae. The record is from RefSeq and is a predicted model, not a curated record. The transcript has 4 exons.